RNAcentral lists this ribosomal RNA (497 nucleotides) under uncultured bacterium. Its description in RNAcentral is "partial 16S ribosomal RNA". It matches the Rfam family "Bacterial small subunit ribosomal RNA", at positions 28 to 507 of the family's 1533-position model. The record is from RNAcentral.
GAUGAACGCUGGCGGCGUGCCUAAUACAUGCAAGUCGAGCGAAAAGGCGCGGAGCUUGCUCCGCUGACGUUAGCGGCGGACGGGUGAGAAACACGUGGAUAACCUCCCUAUCAGACUGAGAACACUUCGAGACACCGGCGCUAAUCCCGUAGGAUCUAUUGCACCGCGUGGUUCAAUAGUGAAAUACGGUUUUGCUGUCACUACUCGAUGGAUCCGCGCCGCAUUAGCUAGUUGGUAAGGUAACGGCUUACGAAGGGAACGAGGCGUAUCCGACCUGUUUGGGUGGUCGGCCACCCUGGAGCUGAGACAGCCUCCAGGGUCCUACGGGAGGCAGCAGUAGGCAACGGUACGCAAUGGGCGGAAGUCUGACGGAGCAACGCCGCGUGAGUGAUGGAGGCCUUCGGAUCGGAAAGAUCUCCUACUAGGGAAGAACAACUUUGUAAUGUACUGUGCACGUAGUGACGGUACCGAAUCAGAAAGCCACGGCUAACUACGUG